CAGUAGCCACGGUAAUACGGAGGAUCCAAGCGUUAUCCGGAAUUAUUGGGUUUAAAGGGUGCGUAGGCGGCAUGCUAAGUCAGGGGUGAAAGACGGUGGCUCAACCAUCGCAGUGCCUUUGAUACUGGUGUGCUUGAAUGUACGUGAGGUAGGCGGAAUGAGACAAGUAGCGGUGAAAUGCAUAGAUAUGUCUCAGAACACCAAUUGCGAAGGCAGCUUACUAAGGUAUGAUUGACGCUGAUGCACGAAAGCGUGGGGAUCAAACAGGAUUAGAUACCCCUGUAGUCCCUGUCUCUUAUAC
Molecule: ribosomal RNA, 301 nt
Filed under: uncultured bacterium
Lineage: Bacteria
Description: partial 16S ribosomal RNA
Rfam family: Bacterial small subunit ribosomal RNA
Source: RNAcentral